RNAcentral lists this ribosomal RNA (460 nucleotides) under uncultured bacterium. RNAcentral describes it as "partial 16S ribosomal RNA". It matches the Rfam family "Bacterial small subunit ribosomal RNA", at positions 338 to 795 of the family's 1533-position model. The record is from RNAcentral.
CCUACGGGAGGCAGCAGUGAGGAAUAUUGGUCAAUGGACGGAAGUCUGAACCAGCCAUGCCGCGUGCAGGAAGACGGCCCUAUGAGUUGUAAACUGCUUUUGUACAAGGGUAAACCUGAAUACGUGUAUUCAGCUGAAAGUACUGUACGAAUAAGGAUCGGCUAAUUCCGUGCCAGCAGCCGCGGUAAUACGGAGGAUCCAAGCGUUAUCCGGACUUAUUGGGUGUAAAGGGUGCGAAGGCGGGUUGAGAAGUGAGAGGUGAAAUGUCCGGGCUUAACUCGGGUACUGCCUCUAAUACUGUUGAUCUAGAGAGUAGGUGCGGUAGGCGGAAUGUAUGGUGUAGCGGUGAAAUGCUGAGAGAUCAGACAGAACACCGAUUGCGAAGGCAGCUUACCAAUCUAUAUCUGACGUUGAGGCACGAAAGCGUGGGGAGCAAACAGGAUUAGAUACCCCUGUAGUC